This 555-nucleotide ribosomal RNA is filed under the name Accipiter nisus (Eurasian sparrowhawk). RNAcentral describes it as "partial 16S ribosomal RNA". The record is from RNAcentral. Lineage: Eukaryota; Metazoa; Chordata; Aves; Accipitriformes; Accipitridae.
GUUGCCUGUGAAAAGAAUCUAAGUUCAUCCUUAAUCCUCCUCUAAGGACCUCAAACCGAGCCCCCACGUAACGGAUUAAGAGUAAUUCAAAGGGGGUACAGCCCCUUCGAAAAAGGAUACAACCUCCUGUAGCGGAUAAUAUACUUUCCCCCCCUCCCCCGUAGGCCCUUAAGCAGCCACCAACAAAGAGUGCGUCAAAGCUCUUUCCUCAAAAAUAUAGAAACAACAUGACUCCCUCCACACCAACAGGCCAACCUAUCACAAUAGGUGAAUUAAUGCUAAAAUGAGUAACUAGGACUACUUCCUCUAAAGCGCAAACUUACAUCAUUAUAUUAUUAACAGUACUCAAUUAAUACCACAACUCCAACAAGCCUCCAUAUUAAAACUACUCUGUUAACCCGACCCAGGAGCGCCCACUAGAAAGACUAAAAUCUGUAAAAGGAACUAGGCAAAUCCAAGACCCGACUGUUUACCAAAAACAUAGCCUCCAGCAAACCCAGUAUUGAAGGUGAUGCCUGCCCAGUGACCACCUGGUUCAACGGCCGCGGUAUCCUA